AAGGAAAUCUAUCCUCCUGGGGAGGUCCCAUGCUGAGUGACCGUGGGAAUACUGGAUUAACUGUGUGGUCCUGACUCCUGUAGUGUCCUUGAGGUAUUUGCUUUACCUUUAGACCUGAGAGGACCCGGCAAGUUCCCGGUACCAGUUUCGACUAUGAUCGUUUAGUGUAUUUUGUUCCAGUGGCCACUGUUGGGACUGGCGAACACGACGCUUCGAGCUGCUGGGUAAGAGCAAGGUAUAUCUUAUUCUAUAUACCUUGGAGCAAGGUACCUUGGGCAAGAGUUGUCGGUUAUGGGUGUGUGGGCGCCAGGUCACACUACUCUCACAACAUACUGACAUUGGAUCACGAUUUCGGGGCAUGUGCCAUGACGGUGUGAACAGAAUCAUCACCUGCAAACCCUCACUGGAGAUAUAUUGUGCCCAAUCAAAUACUCGUAAAUUGUUACAGGUUUUACUUGUGUUAGCACUUGCUAACAAAGGUCAUUUUUUUUAGUAUGUAAGUUGGCUAAAGAAGCAGCAUAAUUCAAUGCAAUUGCCAUAGUCUUUCAUUGAACUUAAAAUACGGAUUCUCACAGUGAAUCUAUAGAUUUCAUAACUUAAUAUAAAAAAGAAAUAGGUUGGGACAAAUUCAACAAUUAUUACUGUAUAGACUUUAUGAAUCAAAACUGUUGGUCUUUAUAUAUGAAAUAGAAUAAAAUCC
Long non-coding RNA from Macrobrachium nipponense, 700 nucleotides. RefSeq lists it as uncharacterized. The record is from RefSeq and is a predicted model, not a curated record. The transcript is spliced from 2 exons. Lineage: Eukaryota; Metazoa; Arthropoda; Malacostraca; Decapoda; Palaemonidae.